GGUAGAUAUCCUUGGGUGGCAAGAACAACGAGAAGGAAUUAAAAAUGCCAAGGAAACUAUCUUUAUUUUGCAGGCAUGAAUCCACGAUGCCUCUUUAACCCUACCAAGAUUACUAACGGGUCAGUGCAGCAUGCUGCCUGCUGCCCAUACUCCGUUGCCUAUCGCUUCCUGUUGGAUACCAUAGUCAUUACAGCUAUGGAUACUCCUCUGAUGGCUCCAGCAGUAGGAGCUGUGCCAGUGUUCUGAACUGGAAUGCCACUUUCUGGUCCGGCACAACUCCACUGCCUAUGACAUCCUCCGCGUUCUCCAGAGAUCACUAGUCUAGUCACCUUAUUGCAACGGAGGACUCAUCAACAUCACCGGCAUCAACCAACGCAGCCUCUGCACCCCAUCCUUUGCUGUCAGCACUAUCUACUCACCGGGAAAGCUUCAAUCAGUAGACACCAAAUACUUAGGGAAGCUGAUGAAGCAGUGGCGACCUCCAUUUUAAUCUCCACAAGAACCAUCGAGGAUUCUGAACAACAACUCUAUUAGACAUUGACUUGGAGGAUGAAGAUUGGCCUGAACUACUAACUGGCUUUUGGUAUCAUAACCCAGCACAUAUAUUUCGUCAACCAGGUUCACAGGAUCUGAGAUAAUCUUCGAUAAAUAAACACAUAAGUUGACUGACCACCAGCAAGACUAGCUGAGACUGGAGCAAACCAGGAAGAAUUCUUGCAGUUGCACAAAAUGGACCAAGACAAAGAUCAAGAACAGGAGAAAAAGUAACAGUGCAAGAUGGAACAAGUGACCUUGCUUGCUACUGCCCUCACGCAGGAUAGACAAAGAAAAGGUAACAAAGCCAAGAUAUUAAAGUACCAGCAGAGCAGCUUCCGAAUUCCAGGCAAUAUUACAAUGAGGAGAGUAACAGCCUAUGAAUAUGUCAGAAGAGAUUCUACAAGAGGGUAUUGACUACAAAUACACCAAAGAAGGCUGGAUUUACAACAAACAAGGAAUUGUGCUGAGCCCCAAACACCUUAUAGAAUAAAUAAUUUAUUUUUU
Panthera uncia (snow leopard) is the source of this 1041-nucleotide long non-coding RNA. RefSeq lists it as uncharacterized. The transcript is spliced from 6 exons. The record is from RefSeq and is a predicted model, not a curated record. Lineage: Eukaryota; Metazoa; Chordata; Mammalia; Carnivora; Felidae.